GAGAGACAGAGAGAGAGAGACGCACACACACAGACAAACAUACAGAGAGAGAGAGAGAGGGAGAGAGAGAGAGUGCACGAGGCAGAGAAGGACCCCAGCACAGAGGAUGUUCUCAAAUGAAAUACAGCACCUAGCUGAUGGAGAGUCUGUGUUGUCAGAUAAGACAGACAAAACCUGGCUUCUUCUGCUCUUCAUGCUGUUGUUUCUUCUGGAAAAGGGCCGGACAUUGUACUUUAUGGAUUUAUUCAUCCAUCCAUCCAUCCAUCCAUUCAUCCAUACAUCCAUCUAUUCAUCCAUUUGCUUUCAGCAGCUGCUUCAUCCUGAUCAAGGAGCCAUAGACACUGAGGAUGAGGAUGAAAUAUAUUUUGUAUAUGAUGCCAAACAAUCCUAAGGAUAAUAUAAAGUAAUAUAAAGGAGAUCAUUAAUAAAAUUCACACACAAUGUGUAAAACAUGGAAGUAGAUCAGGAUACCAAGAUUCUCAGGUCUAAAGAAAUGUAGCCGACCCGAAUCACUUUUUACCCCAAAUCCGGCAUGCAUAUUUUUAUUUUUUUUUAAGAAAGACCCGACCCGAGACAAACCCGAAAAAAUU
Long non-coding RNA from Tachysurus fulvidraco (yellow catfish), 590 nucleotides. RefSeq lists it as uncharacterized. The record is from RefSeq and is a predicted model, not a curated record. Lineage: Eukaryota; Metazoa; Chordata; Actinopteri; Siluriformes; Bagridae. The transcript is spliced from 3 exons.